This 200-nucleotide ribosomal RNA is filed under the name uncultured bacterium. RNAcentral's name for it is "partial 16S ribosomal RNA". It matches the Rfam family "Bacterial small subunit ribosomal RNA", at positions 134 to 334 of the family's 1533-position model. The record is from RNAcentral.
UACAGGGGAGUAGCUCCUCGAAAGAGAGAUUAAGACCGCAUAACAUCAUGAUGCAGCAUUGCAAUGUGAUCAAAUAUUUAUAGGAUUAAGAUGGGCAUGCGGAACAUUAGCUAGUUGGUAAGGUAACGGCUUACCAAGGCUACGAUGUUUAGGGGAUCUGAGAGGAUGACCCCCCACACUGGUACUGAGACACGGACCAG